UACGUAGGAGGCAAGCGUUGUCCGGAAUUACUGGGCGUAAAGCGCGUGUAGGUGGUGGGACAAGUCUGCUGUGAAAGCGCCUGGCUUAACCGGGCGAGGUCGGCGGAAACUGUUCGACUCGAGGACGGUAGAGGGGGGUGGAAUUCCCGGUGUAGUGGUGAAAUGCGUAGAGAUCGGGAGGAACACCUGUGGCGAAGGCGGCUAUCUGGACCAACACUGACACUGAGGCACGAAAGCGUGGGUAGCAAACAGG
This 253-nucleotide ribosomal RNA is filed under the name uncultured bacterium. Its description in RNAcentral is "partial 16S ribosomal RNA". It matches the Rfam family "Bacterial small subunit ribosomal RNA", at positions 524 to 776 of the family's 1533-position model. The record is from RNAcentral.